This 76-nucleotide transfer RNA is filed under the name bacterium. RNAcentral's name for it is "tRNA-Lys". It matches the Rfam family "tRNA". Rfam says of the family: Transfer RNA (tRNA) molecules are approximately 80 nucleotides in length. Their secondary structure includes four short double-helical elements and three loops (D, anti-codon, and T loops). The record is from RNAcentral. RNAcentral also lists the same sequence under 4 other names.
GGGUCGUUAGCUCAGUUGGUAGAGCACCUGACUCUUAAUCAGGCUGUCGCGGGUUCGAAUCCUGCACGACCCACCA